Molecule: ribosomal RNA, 799 nt
Filed under: Triticum aestivum (bread wheat)
Lineage: Eukaryota; Viridiplantae; Streptophyta; Magnoliopsida; Poales; Poaceae
Description: partial small subunit ribosomal RNA
Source: RNAcentral
ACCCCCCUCCUUUUCCCCCUCACUCUAGUCCUCUGCUCCGCCAGCAGGGGGCUGGUGGCGCACCGCCAUUGAACAAAACCCUCAACCCAGAUCGGAAACUAAGCCGCCGGCAUGUCGUCCUCCAACGACGCCCCCGUCAGCCCUCGCUCCCAGCUCGUGCUGAGCUGCUUCGAGGAGCUCCUCGACUUCGCGGUGGCGGACGUGGCGUCGGAGUGCCACCGCAUCGCGCGCCUAGGCCUCGACCGCAGCGUCGACGCCGAGGAGGAGGAGCUCCGCCUCUGGGCCGCGCGCGUCGCCGGCGACCACCCCGGCGCCGAGGACGGGGCCACCCGCGGGGCCGGGGGAGGAGGGGGGAACAAGGGCGCGCCCGACGUCUUCGGCCAGACGCACCCCGCCAUCGCCGCCGACGUCGUCGACUGCAUGAACUGCGGUCGCCCCGUCGUCGCCGGCCGCUUCGCCCCGCACCUCGAGAAGUGCAUGGGCAAGGGUCGCAAAGCUCGCGCAAAGACCACAAGGAGCAGCACAGCUGGACGGAACAGAAACAGCAAUGGGGAGGAGCAUAGCAACCAUACAUUCCAGGAGUCCUGAUCGCAAGCUGUGCUUCUGUCAUGCUAUCGGUGCUUGAGCGCCGUACGAGGGCGAAGCGCGUUACCUUGAUCAAUUUGGCUUGCGUGCUACUAUCUGUUGCCUCGAGUCCUCUGUAUAUUAGGGCUUAAGCAUGUUUUGUUUAUCAAGUGAAUUCUUGGCCAUCCUGUAUAGCUAAUUCCUUCCAGUAAGUAAUACAGUUUGUUCCAGCACC